This 1307-nucleotide ribosomal RNA is filed under the name metagenome. RNAcentral's name for it is "SSU rRNA". It matches the Rfam family "Eukaryotic small subunit ribosomal RNA", at positions 483 to 1783 of the family's 1831-position model. The record is from RNAcentral.
AUACCGGGCCUUUUUGGGCUUGGUAAUUGGAAUGAGGGAGAGUUAAACGGACCAUCGAGUAUCCAUUGGAGGGCAAGUCUGGUGCCAGCAGCUGCGGUAAUACCAGCUCCAAUAGCGUAUAUUAAAGUUGUUGCAGUUAAAAAGCUCGUAGUUGGACUUGUGUGCGCUGUCCGCGGGUGGCCUGCGCCCAAAAGGGCGUUUCGGUUCGGCCCCGGUGGCGCCUUGAAAUCUGCAGCUGGGGGGACGUUGGCCUUAACUGGUCGGCGACCGCACGCCGGCUGCUCGGUUACUGUGAGAAAAUUAGAGUGUUCAAGGCAGGCAUUGGGUGCAAUUGAAUACAUUAGCAUGGAAUAAUAAAAUAUGGCUCCUGCCGUAUUUUGUUGGUUUUGACUGGUGGGAGUAAUGAUUGAUAGGGACGGUUGGGGGUGCUAGUAUUGAGCGGCCAGAGGUGAAAUUCAUGGAUUCGCUCAAGACUAACUUAUGCGAAAGCAUUCACCAAGGACGUCCUCUUUAAUCAAGAACGAAAGUUGGGGGAUCGAAGACGAUCAGAUACCGUCGUAGUCUCAACCAUAAACUAUGUCGACUUGGGAUCGGCGGUAGUUUUUUCAUUAAGACACUGUCGGGACCACGGGAGAAAUCAAAGUGUCUGGACUCUGGGGGAAGUAUGGUCGCAAGGCUGAAACUUGAAGGAAUUGACGGAAGGGCACCACCAGGAGUGGAGCCUGCGGCUUAAUUUGACCCAACACGGGGAAACUUACCAGGUCCAGAGAUGUAGAGGAUUGACAGAUUGAAGCUCUUUCUUGAUCACUUCGGUGGUGGUGCAUGGCCGUUCUUAGUUGGUGGAGUGAUUUGUCUGGUUAAUUCCGUUAACGAACGAGACCUCAGCCUGCUAGUGUAGUCGGCUGGAUUGCCUUUGGCGAUCCGUGAUUUCGACUUCUUAGAGGGACAAUCGACGCGCAGUCGAUGGAAGUUUGAGGCAAUAACAGGUCUGUGAUGCCCUUAGAUGUUCUGGGCCGCACGCGCGCUACACUGCUGGGCUCAGCGAGUUUUACUUGGCCGAGAGGCCCGGUUAAUCUUGUGAAAUCCCAGCGUUCUUGGGCUCGCCUCCUGCAACUGGAGGCGCCAACGAGGAAUUCCUAGUAGACGCAGGUCAUCAACCUGCAUCGAUUACGUCCCUGCCCUUUGUACACACCGCCCGUCGUUCCAUAAGAGUGAGGCAUCCGGUGAAUUCUCGGGAGAGCCUGGGCGUGGCCAGCAAUGGUCUGCUCGGGUUUGAACUUGCAUAAACUUGGUGCCUAUGAUUAGGG